This 358-nucleotide RNase P RNA is filed under the name Ilumatobacteraceae bacterium. RNAcentral's name for it is "RNase P RNA component class A". It matches the Rfam family "Bacterial RNase P class A". From Rfam's summary of the family: Ribonuclease P (RNase P) is a ubiquitous endoribonuclease, found in archaea, bacteria and eukarya as well as chloroplasts and mitochondria. The record is from RNAcentral. Lineage: Bacteria; Bacillati; Actinomycetota; Acidimicrobiia; Acidimicrobiales; Ilumatobacteraceae. RNAcentral also lists the same sequence under 1 other name.
UGAGUUAGUCGGGUGACCGCGGCUGGUGCAAACCAGUCGAGGAAAGUCGGGACUCCACAGGACAGAGUGCUGGCGCGAGCCAGGUGGGGGCGACCUUACGGACAGUGCAACAGAGAGAAACCGCCGAUGGCUGGGAAACCAGAUCAGGUAAGGGUGAAACGGUGCGGUAAGAGCGCACCAGCAUGCCAGGUGACUGACAUGGCUCGGCAAACCCCAUUCGGAGCAAGGUCAAGCAGAGGAGACGGGCGGUCCGUCCAUCCAGGCAACUGGAAACUCCUCGGGUAGACCGCAUAGAUGGAUGGUUACCGGAUCGGGGCAACCUGAUUCACAGAAUCCCGCUUACAGACUGACUCACCGU